UGCCAGCCGCCGCGGUAAUACGGAGGGUCCGAGCGUUAUCCGGAAUCAUUGGGUUUAAAGGGUUCGUAGGCGGAUAUGAAAGUCAGAAGUGAAAUCCCAGAGCUCAACUCUGGAACUGCUUUUGAAACUCCAUAUCUAGAAUCCGGUAGAGGUCAGGAGAAUUCCUAGUGUAGAGGUGAAAUUCGCAGAUAUUAGGAGGAAUACCAGUGGCGUAGGCGCCUGACCGGGCCGGUAUUGACGCUCAUGUACGAAAGCGUGGGGAGCAAACAGGAUUAGAUA
This 279-nucleotide ribosomal RNA is filed under the name uncultured bacterium. RNAcentral's name for it is "partial 16S ribosomal RNA". It matches the Rfam family "Bacterial small subunit ribosomal RNA", at positions 506 to 784 of the family's 1533-position model. The record is from RNAcentral.